RNAcentral lists this long non-coding RNA (1080 nucleotides) under Callithrix jacchus (white-tufted-ear marmoset). RNAcentral's name for it is "lncRNA (ENSCJAG00000079413.1)". The record is from RNAcentral. Lineage: Eukaryota; Metazoa; Chordata; Mammalia; Primates; Cebidae.
GCAAGAGGUAUUCUGCUGGUUUGGUGGAAGUGGGAAUCUCUGAAGACCAGAUUAUGUAUAAUUAAUUCACAUAGUUAUUGAGGACUUACAGUAUGCCUGUGCUGUGCCAGCUGCAGGAGUUACACCGGAAAACCAGAGUGGCUGUGUCCCUCACCACAUGAAGUCUAUGAACAGAAGGGCAAUGGGGCACAUUGGUAGACUCCAACUGGGCCAGAGAAUUUACAGGCUAAGAUAACCUCCAGUUCCUUCAUUUCUAUUGUUUGCAGAAGUCUGGCGAAGGGAAACAAGGUGUGGAAAAACAAGAGAAGAAAGCUGUUGUACUUCUGCCUGUCUCCACAAGGACCCCACCUGUACGUAGGAAAGAUGGACAAGACUGUAAAGUAACUUGAAGAUAGAGACUGUGUGUGGAUUUCUAUGGCUUCAGUGGCACCAAACACAGCACUGUGAUUUAAAGAGGAUGUUCAGCAAGAUUUCUUAAGGAAACGACACUCAAGGCUAGCGAUGUGCAGUGUGAUACUCUCGCAAUCUGGGCAGCAGCAUCAAGCCGCAGCUGUCAAUCAGCCACGCCAUCACGAGGGUAAAGGCGAUACUCUCCCAUGGACUGUGAUGCAGAUGAUUCUGUUCAACUGGAGGCCAGUACACGCUCACGGCUCAAUACAGGCAAAACCAGGCCACAGCUCACCCUGCCAGGAGAAUCCACACCUACAGAGGGGAUGCCGCCCUCCAGCAGCCCUAAAAGAAAUUUCUUUCAAGAAACUUGGCUUCAUACCCGUGCCAAAGCACUAUGAAGAGAGGUCCUCUUUCGUUCCGUUCAGUGCAGCAGUUGAAAAAGGAAAGGGAGGUAUGUUUUUAUGGAAACCUCAAACGCCCCUCCACAUCUCCUGUGAAUUACCUCUGUGUUCAGGCAGCCGAGCUAGACAGCUGCGAGGAGAGGCAUGUGUUUUUGAUGGGGGCCUUGGAAAGAAAAGGCCCCUUGUACCCUGGCCAAGGCAUGUAGGUGGUGUGACCUGGGAGGACAGCAGGGCCAGGAGCUCCCCAGCUGUGGCGGAAGCCAGGCUCCCAGGGGCAAUGUUCCAGUGA